GCAGCUCCUGUCCGUUUGUGCUGGGGAAUGGCAUCGGGAAGGCUCUCUAUCAUUGAUAGUGAAUGAGUUAUUCAACAUUGAAGACUAAACCCUAAAGCACAGGGCGGCUUUGAAGAUGGAUGAUCGGUUUGCUUUAAGAUCUAGUGUCCACCAAUUUUGGCUAAUGCAUUGACAUGAUCAAACCCGAUUCCUGUCUCCGGGGUCCUACUUUCGAAUCUUUCAGGUGUUCCACCUACUGUUACAAAUGGAUUGGAUAUAGAUCCCACUAAACAUAUAAAAAGCCAGAAGUCAAUUGAAAGUCAAAGUUUUGUUCGAGAGAAUCACCUUGUAAUUGGGUUCAGAUAUUCGUUUAUUUUGUGUAUUGUGAGCUGUUAUGGAGAUUGCUUAGAAUCGCUAUUGAUGGUCCAAAAUGGUGGUUUUGUUAGAUAAAUUUCUGAUGUUCGGGCAGACUGUUCUGAUUAAUUCCUGAAUAUAGAACUCACUAGCUUCAAUCCAUUUCCCGAAAUAUUAUCUAAUUUGGUGUCCCACCUACUGUUGCAAAUAUAUUGGAUAUAGAUCAGCAAAACAUAUAAAGAAUCAGAAUUCAGUUGAUUACUGCUAGAAAGAAAGCUUUAGCUUCCUUGAUGUAAAUGUCAAGUGGUAUCGUGCUAUAUACUGAUGUCAAUCAAAGUGGGGUUUAUUGAGGAAUCUUCAUUCUGUGCUUAAGCAGAUGGAGAAAGCUAUGGUCCAUGGUGUCUCGUCACUCGUCAGCAUAUCGGACUUAGAGGUGUGUAUACGUAUGGAGCAAUACGUGUGAACUUUUCUUUUACCCUUUGCCGGCAUUAUAAAGUGCUGGCCAUCGGCCCUCUGGUGCGGACGGAUAUCCCCACACAGGCAAGCCGAGCGUUGACUAAACGCCAGGAGCGACUUCUGCCGGCUUUGUCAAGUUUCACAGGAAAGGCCAUUUCUGGUGAAUGAUCCCGGAUCACCGAAAGCAACAAAAUUUUUUGCUAGCCUCCACCUGGUACAUGUCUCUUGGUGCGCUGUAAACGAAAAAGAUGAAGGUUGGGUGCGGUGAAUACGUCUAUUUCAGAAGAAUGUGCCCCUUAUAUCAAACACUAGGUUUAUGUAU
This is a long non-coding RNA of Nymphaea colorata (pocket water lily), 1111 nucleotides long. RefSeq lists it as uncharacterized. NCBI's taxonomy places the organism in Eukaryota, Viridiplantae, Streptophyta, Magnoliopsida, Nymphaeales, Nymphaeaceae. The record is from RefSeq and is a predicted model, not a curated record. The transcript has 6 exons.